GUAAAAAAAGCAGUCAGACCUGUCACUCUGGGUGUGCAAAGCGAAACCUAGUAACAGAUUCUUUGAGCAUGCGUUCAGUAACAAGUUUCCAUAGCAUUCUGUGCUCUGUGCCUUGCACACCUGCUGCUUCCGUACUCCUUUCCACUACACUACGCUUGAUGUCCAGGAGGAACUAACCAUCCAACAAUCUAUUUGGAUCUGACCAUCUAUAACCAGGAGAGGACAACUGUAAUCAUGGUGAACUACAGGUUUCUGUCCAGCA
Non-coding RNA from Pelobates cultripes (western spadefoot toad), 262 nucleotides. Lineage: Eukaryota; Metazoa; Chordata; Amphibia; Anura; Pelobatidae. The record is from the annotation of a GenBank genome assembly.